GACGAACGCUGGCGGCGUGCCUAAUACAUGCAAGUCGAACGCAGUGGGGACGGGUGCGUAACACGUGGGUAACCUCCCAUCAAAGGGGAUAACACUUAGCAACAGGUGCUAAACCGCUACUGAAGGAUGGACCCGGGGUGCAUUAGCUAGUUGGUGAGGUAACGGCUCACCAAGGCCACGAUGCUUAGCCGGACUGGGGGGGUGAACGGCCCAACUGGAACUGAGACCCGGCCCCGACUCCCACGGGAGGCAGCAGUAGGGAAUUUUCCGCAAUGGACGGAAGUCGUACCCAGCCAAGCCGCGUGAAUGAAGAAGGUUUUCGGAUCGUAAAGCUCUGUUGUUAGAGAAGCGGUAUCUAACCAGAAAGCCACGGCUAACUACGUGCCAGCCGCCGCGGUAAUAC
RNAcentral lists this ribosomal RNA (403 nucleotides) under uncultured bacterium. RNAcentral describes it as "partial 16S ribosomal RNA". It matches the Rfam family "Bacterial small subunit ribosomal RNA", at positions 28 to 526 of the family's 1533-position model. The record is from RNAcentral.